RNAcentral lists this ribosomal RNA (277 nucleotides) under uncultured bacterium. RNAcentral describes it as "partial 16S ribosomal RNA". It matches the Rfam family "Bacterial small subunit ribosomal RNA", at positions 506 to 784 of the family's 1533-position model. The record is from RNAcentral.
UGCCAGCCGCCGCGGUAAGACGGAGGGGGCUAGCGCUGUCCGGAAUUAUUGGCGUAAAGGGUACGCAGGCGGGUUAAUAAGUCGAAUGUUAAAGAUCGGGGCUCAACCCCGUAAAGCAUUGGAAACUGAUAAACUUGAGUAGUGGAGAGGAAAGUGGAAUUCCUAGUGUAGUGGUGAAAUACGUAGAUAUUAGGAGGAAUACCAGUAGCGAAGGCGACUUUCUGGACACAAACUGACGCUGAGGUACGAAAGCGUGGGGAGCAAACAGGAUUAGAUA